This 459-nucleotide ribosomal RNA is filed under the name Triticum aestivum (bread wheat). Its description in RNAcentral is "partial small subunit ribosomal RNA". Lineage: Eukaryota; Viridiplantae; Streptophyta; Magnoliopsida; Poales; Poaceae. The record is from RNAcentral.
CUUGAGGUGGCCGCCUGGGACUCCCUCCUCCAAGACAUCACCCUUAUGCCGAUGAAUGUUGAGGAGGAUCAGGAUGCUGUCUCCUGGCACCUUGAGCCCUCUGGCCGUUUCUCCACAAAGCCCCUGUAUGGUGCAAUUGCGCCAUCUACGAACCCCGAACCCUUUAGCCUGAUCUGGGACAUCCGCCUACCUCUGAAGAUCCGGAUUUUCCUGUGGCAAUGGAUCCGUGGAUGCCUCCCUUAUGGGGUUGAAGUCCUCAAGCGUAAUGGCCCGGGCGAUGGGAUGUGCCCCCUCUGUGGCACGGUAGAGGAUGCUAACCACAUCUUUUUUCCGUGCCACUCGGCCCAGUUCCUUCGGGCCUGCUUUCGCGAAACAGUUGGCGGACAGUGGUGUAAUACCAACUUCCCCGACCUGCUGGCGGAGCUCAACGCAUCCCCCCUCUCGCUACCGUCAUAUUAA